CAAUGUGUGCUCGUACUUGCAGAUGGAUUGGCAAUACGACCUUGCUUCUCAGGUUCAAACAUCUUCCUGUUGUAACCACUAACCCCUUGUGUUCUGUUGAAUUACGUGAUUCUGAUGCUCCCAAAAUAUUCAUGCUACAUAUGUAUUACGCUUCUGCUUUUGACGAAAAAGGGUUUCCUCCGCUUUGUAUUCUAAAGCAACCGACACCGAUACAACCGACGAUAGGUGCUGGGGCGGAAACAACACAGUCAUGC
This 254-nucleotide long non-coding RNA is filed under the name Hordeum vulgare. Its description in RNAcentral is "long non-coding RNA (HVUL_LNC012840)". The record is from RNAcentral. Lineage: Eukaryota; Viridiplantae; Streptophyta; Magnoliopsida; Poales; Poaceae.